This 944-nucleotide ribosomal RNA is filed under the name uncultured archaeon. RNAcentral describes it as "bacterial SSU rRNA". It matches the Rfam family "Archaeal small subunit ribosomal RNA", at positions 1 to 922 of the family's 1478-position model. The record is from RNAcentral.
UCCGGUUGAUCCUGCCGGACCCCACUGCUAUCGGGGUGGGACUAAGACAUGCUAGUCGUGCGCCUCCAAGCCACGGUGGAGGCGCGGCGCACAGCUCAGUAACACGUGGCUAACCUACCCUUGGGACAGGGACAACCCCGGGAAACUGGGGCUAAUCCCCGAUAGGUGAGGACUCCUGGAAUGGGUCCUCGCUGAAAGGGCGUCUAGACCAUGCUUCUAGACGCUGCCCAAGGAUGGGGCCGCGGCCGAUCAGGUUGUUGGUGAGGUAACGGCUCACCAAGCCUAAGACCGGUACGGGCCGUGAGAGCGGGAGCCCGGAGAUGGACACUGAGACAAGGGUCCAGGCCCUACGGGGCGCAGCAGUCGCGAAACCUCCGCAAUACGCGAAAGCGUGACGGGGCCACCCCGAGUGCCGUCCGCUGAGGACGGCUUUUCCCCAGUGUAGACAGCUGGGGGAAUAAGGGGAGGGCAAGUCGGGUGUCAGCCGCCGCGGUAAUACCCGCUCCCCGAGUGGUGGGGACGCUUAUUGGGCCUAAAGCAUCCGUAGCCGGCUGGACAAGUCCCCUGUUAAAUCCAGCGAUUUAAUCGCUGGACUGCGGGGGAUACUGUCCAGCUAGGGGGCGGGAGAGGCCGGCGGUAUUCCCGGGGUAGGGGUGAAAUCUUAUAAUCCCGGGAGGACCACCAGUGGCGAAGGCUGCCGGCUGGAACGCGCCCGACGGUGAGGGAUGAAAGCUGGGGGAGCGAACCGGAUUAGAUACCCGGGUAGUCCCAGCUGUAAACGAUGCGGGCUAGGUGUUGGCACAGCUACAAGCCGUGUCAGUGCCGCAGGGAAGCCGUUAAGCCCGCCGCCUGGGGAGUACGGCCGCAAGGCUGAAACUUAAAGGAAUUGGCGGGGGAGCACCACAAGGGGUGAAGCUUGCGGUUUAAUUGGAGUCAACGCCGGA